CUAGAGGCUUGCCCGAAGACGACGCCAAAAUGUGGCGCUAGCGAGCGCAGCGAAGCGAUUGGAGCAGCACCUCCGCUUAAGCUUUUCGUUACCGCGAUGAUACAGUAGCGGAAACUGAGGGCGGGGCCGAAGGCGACGCCGAGCUGCGGCGCAAACAAGCGCAGCGCAGCAAGCGGAGCAGAACAAAACGGUUGCGAGAACUUG
This is a long non-coding RNA of Paramacrobiotus metropolitanus, 204 nucleotides long. RefSeq lists it as uncharacterized. The record is from RefSeq and is a predicted model, not a curated record. The transcript is spliced from 3 exons. NCBI's taxonomy places the organism in Eukaryota, Metazoa, Tardigrada, Eutardigrada, Parachela, Macrobiotidae.